UGGGGAAUAUUGGGCAAUGGAGGAAACUCUGACCCAGCAACGCCGCGUGGAGGAAGAAGGUUUUCGGAUCGUAAACUCCUGUCCUUGGAGACGAGUAGAAGACGGUAUCCAAGGAGGAAGCCCCGGCUAACUACGUGCCAGCAGCCGCGGUAAUACGUAGGGGGCAAGCGUUGUCCGGAAUAAUUGGGCGUAAAGGGCGCGUAGGCGGCUCGGUAAGUCUGGAGUGAAAGUCCUGCUUUUAAGGUGGGAAUUGCUUUGGAUACUGUCGGGCUUGAGUGCAGGAGAGGUUAGUGGAAUUCCCAGUGUAGCGGUGAAAUGCGUAGAGAUUGGGAGGAACACCAGUGGCGAAGGCGACUAACUGGACUGUAACUGACGCUGAGGCGCGAAAGUGUGGGGAGCAAACA
This 404-nucleotide ribosomal RNA is filed under the name uncultured bacterium. RNAcentral's name for it is "bacterial SSU rRNA". It matches the Rfam family "Bacterial small subunit ribosomal RNA", at positions 355 to 774 of the family's 1533-position model. The record is from RNAcentral.